This 253-nucleotide ribosomal RNA is filed under the name uncultured bacterium. RNAcentral describes it as "partial 16S ribosomal RNA". It matches the Rfam family "Bacterial small subunit ribosomal RNA", at positions 524 to 776 of the family's 1533-position model. The record is from RNAcentral.
UACGUAGGGUGCAAGCGUUGUCCGGAAUUAUUGGGCGUAAAGAGCUCGUAGGCGGUUUGUCGCGUCGAAUGUGAAAUCCCGGGGCUCAACCCCGGGCCUGCAUUCGAUACGGGCAGACUAGAGUUCGGUAGGGGAGACUGGAAUUCCUGGUGUAGCGGUGGAAUGCGCAGAUAUCAGGAGGAACACCGAUGGCGAAGGCAGGUCUCUGGGCCGCAACUGACGCUGAGGAGCGAAAGCAUGGGGAGCGAACAGG